This 761-nucleotide long non-coding RNA is filed under the name Jatropha curcas. Its description in RNAcentral is "long non-coding RNA (JCUR_LNC000998)". Lineage: Eukaryota; Viridiplantae; Streptophyta; Magnoliopsida; Malpighiales; Euphorbiaceae. The record is from RNAcentral.
AAAUAAUGAAUAUAUUAGAUAUAGCAUAUAAAUUAGUAGCUGGAAGUGAGCUUUAAAGAUUUUUAUCGCCACCAGAAGGUUGCUCAAACCACUGUUCAACGAUCGCAAGGCAUCUUUCAUGUCAUCAGUGCUUCUGAUGGGAGGAACUCUGUAUGAACCUGCAGCUGCUACCAAGACCGUCACCUGUAAAUAACUACCAGAAAUCAGGACGAAGGUAAAGAAAAUUUUGAUUCAGUAGAUAUUUGCUAACGUGUUUCUUUAUAAGUUUAGCCAUUAUUUCAAGAAAGACAAUAUUCAUCUCUAAGUUUAUAAAUUAUUUAAGUAAGGAGCAACUAAAGCAAGUUCAGUGCUUGAACCAGCAACACGCAACAUUUUGAAUGAAUAUGUAGAAGUAAAAUCAAGCAAACAAAUAUAAAGACAAGGAGAAUUAUGUCUUUAAUAAUUGUUUUACUGUGAAAAAUAUUCCUUUUGCAAUUUAUAUAGGUGCAAGCAUGAUUAUAAUGUUUAUAAAAUUUAGAUCUUAAAAACCUCGAAUGCUGAUAUCAAUCAAGAAUCUUGAAGACCCUAAAAUCAGAACGGUAGCUAAUAUCUAUUUAAAGCUCCAUGCAUGCGCUGUUGCAGGAAAGUACAAAACAACAGAGGACGAUCAAAAGUUCCAGAUGGAUAUGUUUGACAAUAAUGAAGAGGACGAUGCACAUAAUUAUCUGAAAGAUGUACUAUCACCAGUGAUGUCUAAAUGACAGAGUAGACGACUUUACCAC